AGUGAACGCUGGCGGUAGGCCUAACACAUGCAAGUCGAACGGCAGCACAGUAAGAGCUUGCUCUUACGGGUGGCGAGUGGCGGACGGGUGAGGAAUACAUCGGAAUCUACUUUUUCGUGGGGGAUAACGUAGGGAAACUUACGCUAAUACCGCAUACGACCUACGGGUGAAAGCAGGGGAUCUUCGGACCUUGCGCGAUUGAAUGAGCCGAUGUCGGAUUAGCUAGUUGGCGGGGUAAAGGCCCACCAAGGCGACGAUCCGUAGCUGGUCUGAGAGGAUGAUCAGCCACACUGGAACUGAGACACGGUCCAGACUCCUACGGGAGGCAGCAGUGGGGAAUAUUGGACAGUGGGCGCAAGCCUGAUCCAGCCAUACCGCGUGGGUGAAGAAGGCCUUCGGGUUGUAAAGCCCUUUUGUUGGGAAAGAAAAGCAGCAGGUUAAUACCCCGCUGUUCUGACGGUACCCAAGGAAUAAGCACCGGCUAACUUCGUG
Molecule: ribosomal RNA, 492 nt
Filed under: uncultured bacterium
Lineage: Bacteria
Description: partial 16S ribosomal RNA
Rfam family: Bacterial small subunit ribosomal RNA
Source: RNAcentral